Molecule: ribosomal RNA, 804 nt
Filed under: uncultured bacterium
Lineage: Bacteria
Description: bacterial SSU rRNA
Rfam family: Bacterial small subunit ribosomal RNA
Source: RNAcentral
AGAGUUUGAUCAUGGCUCAGAACUAACGCUGGCGGCGUGCCUAACACAUGCAAGUCGAACGAGAAAGUUGGCUUCGGCCGAUGAGUAAAGUGGCGCACGGGUGAGUAACGCGUGGAUAAUCUGCCCUUUAGUUUGGAAUAACGUACCGAAAGGUGCGCUAAUACCGGAUGAUACUGAGUGACUACUGUCAUUUAGUCAAAGAAGGCUUCUGUUUACAUGCUUUUGCUGAAGGAUGAGUCCGCGUACCAUUAGCUAGUUGGUAGGGUAAUGGCCUACCAAGGCGACGAUGGUUAGCUGGUCUGAGAGGAUGAUCAGCCACACUGGAACUGAGACACGGUCCAGACUCCUACGGGAGGCAGCAGUGAGGAAUAUUGCGCAAUGGGGGAAACCCUGACGCAGCAACGCCGCGUGAGUGAGGAAGGUUUUCGGACCGUAAAGCUCUGUCGAGCGGGAAGAAAUGCAUGGUGGCUAAUAUCCAUCAUGCUUGACGGUACCGCUAAAGGAAGCACCGGCUAACUCCGUGCCAGCAGCCGCGGUAAUACGGGGGGUGCGAGCGUUGUUCGGAAUUAUUGGGCGUAAAGAGCGUGUAGGCGGCUGAAUAAGUCAGAUGUGAAAUCCCUGGGCUUAACCCCAGGACGUGCAUUUGAAACUAUUCGGCUAGAGUAGGGGAAGAAGGAAAAGUGGAUUUCCUGGGGUUAGAAGGUUGAAAUUCGUAGAUAUCAGAGAAACACGGGUGGCGAAGCCGACUUUUCUGGGCCUAUACUGACGCUGAGACGCGAGAAGGCGUGGGUAGCAACAGGAUUA